GACGAACGCUGGCGGCGUGCUUAACACAUGCAAGUCGAACGGAAAGGCCCUGCUUUUGUGGGGUGCUCGAGUGGCGAACGGGUGAGUAACACGUGAGUAACCUGCCCUUGACUUUGGGAUAACUUCAGGAAACUGGGGCUAAUACCGGAUAGGAGCUCCUGCUGCAUGGGGGGGGUUGGAAAGUUUCGGCGGUUGGGGAUGGACUCGCGGCUUAUCAGCUUGUUGGUGGGGUAGUGGCUUACCAAGGCUUUGACGGGUAGCCGGCCUGAGAGGGUGACCGGCCACAUUGGGACUGAGAUACGGACCAGAAUCCUACGGGCGGCAGCAGUGGGGAAUAUUGCACAAUGGGCGGAAGCCUGAUGCAGCAACGCCGCGUGCGGGAUGACGGCCUUCGGGUUGUAAACCGCUUUCGCCUGUGACGAAGCGUGAGUGACGGUAAUGGGUAAAGAAGCACCGGCUAACUACGUG
RNAcentral lists this ribosomal RNA (468 nucleotides) under uncultured bacterium. Its description in RNAcentral is "partial 16S ribosomal RNA". It matches the Rfam family "Bacterial small subunit ribosomal RNA", at positions 28 to 507 of the family's 1533-position model. The record is from RNAcentral.